UAGAGCGGCGGACGGGUGAGUAACACGUGGACAAUCUGGACCCCCCGGCCCGGGAUAGCCCAGGGAAACCUGGAUUAAUACCGGAUGAGACGGGACCCGCGAAGGCGGGACCGGGAAAGGCGCUGCGGCGCCGCCGGGGGAUGAGUCUGCGUCCCAUUAGCUAGACGGCGGGGUAACGGCCCACCGUGGCGACGAUGGGUAGCCGGCCUGAGAGGGUGGACGGCCACAUUGGAACUGAGACACGGUCCAGACUCCUACGGGAGGCAGCAGCUAAGAAUCUUCCGCAAUGGGCGAAAGCCUGACGGAGCGACGCCCGCGUAGAACGAAGAAGGCCGUGAGGUUGUAAAGUUCUUUUCGGGAGGGGGAACAACCGUGGCAGGGAAUGGCCGCGGGAUGACGUGAAUCCCGGAAUAAGCCCCGGCUAACUACGUGCCAGCCGCUGC
This 443-nucleotide ribosomal RNA is filed under the name uncultured bacterium. RNAcentral describes it as "bacterial SSU rRNA". It matches the Rfam family "Bacterial small subunit ribosomal RNA", at positions 91 to 518 of the family's 1533-position model. The record is from RNAcentral.